Aphanomyces astaci is the source of this 73-nucleotide non-coding RNA. The record is from Rfam. NCBI's taxonomy places the organism in Eukaryota, Oomycota, Saprolegniomycetes, Saprolegniales, Verrucalvaceae.
GUCCCCGUGGCCUAAUGGAUAAGGCGUCGCCCUCCGAAGGCGGAGACUGCGGGUUCGAGUCCCGCCGGGGACU